AAAUAUAUAUAAUAUAUGAAAAUAUAUAAUAGAUAAAUAUAUAUAAUAUAUAAAUAUAUAUAAAAUAUAAAUAUGUCGAAGUAUGCUCGUCUUCCAUUAGAGCGUAGCGCGUUUCGAUGUUUUCGCAGGCGAUAACUCAAGAAUACUGAUCUGCUCGUUUUUCUAACUGCCCCGCAAUUACCUCGAACCACACUCGUCGACAACGUCGCGUCGCAUUGUCGUGCAACUGGAGAGGCGACGCAUGGUUGACGCCCCGCCCCAAUGCACCGGUGGCAAUCAAAUGCAAGUUCAUUAUUUGGUCUGAACAGAAUUUAUGCAACUCUCACUGUCUAAUUUAAGGCUAUGACUAAGAUAGACAUACUUGGUAAAAGCGUCUACUUGAACAAUUACGUACUCCUUCUAGUCACUCUUGCCACUUUAUUUCCCUGUUAUAUCGAUGUGGAUAGUGUGCCGAGGAAUAUUGACUUUUGGGAUUGGAUGCAAUUCGGCCUGAAUUUAUCCUGAGUUUCAUUUGGACAUUUUGCAUGUCAACAAAUUUUCUAACAUAUUUUGACAUAUUGUCAAACCAAUAAAAAUCGUAAACUUUACCUAAUUUCCACCCUAAAUGCAUUAUCGACUCAUGUACUUGAUUUAUAACAGACCACGUGAAGGAACGCGGCACCACUGGUAGUCAGCGUGUUCUGUCAUUUCUCUGUAUUUUUCGGUAAAGAACUUCUACCCUUAGUGUUCAUAGGCUUCUGCAAUAUCUUCAGCAAGAAAAAAAUCAUUUAAUUUGCUCACGAUUUUAGCUAUGUCCGAGUCUCGACGCUGUUCAGCAAUGAGCCAGUUGCUUGAAAUUUCUCUUCUCUUCAAUCCACUUUACAGCAGAAAUAGACUUUGGUAAGAUAGGAUUUCUGGAAAAAAAGUCAACAUGUCAAUUCCCUUCUUUAUAAUGAAUUUCAAAUGUAAAUGAUUGCAAAUAAGCCCACCAACGUUGGGCUCUAGGGGUCAAAUCUUGUUUAUUUCUUGACGCCUUUAGUGAGUUACAGUCAGUAACGAUAGUAAAGUUCCUGCCCAACAAAUAAUGCAGAAAAUAUUUAAUGGAGUUUACAACAGCUAAUGUUUCCAGCUCGUACGAGUGGUAUCUUGACUUUGCAGGGGAAGUAGUUUUCUAUAGUAUUCUAAUACCUGGGUCUUGUAAUUAAUUUUAUGUAAGAAAAUUGCACAAUAGCCACUACAACCUGCAUCCGUAUGCAACUCAAUUGGAUAUUUUGGGUCAAAAAUAACAAGGAAAUUAUAGCAUAAAUAUUAAACCAAUGUUUUCUAGAAGGAACACUUUCUUGUAAUGUUGAAUGAAAACCCGGCCUCUGUCAGAUUAUUAACGCCUCACAUUGUCUUGACGCAGUUAUCAUGAUGCCGUCCAAAUAGACUAUAACAUUAGAAUUUGCAAGAUCCGAUAGCGCUUUCACUACUAAACGUUGAAAUGUCGAAGGCGCAUUUUUAAGCCCGAAUGUCAUAGAUAAAAACUCAUACAGGCCAUCGGGUGUCAUAAACGCAGUAUACUCAAUUGAAUUCGCAUUUAAAGGAAUUUCGUAAUAGCCACUAGCCAUAUCUAAACAUUUAAAAUUAAUAAGCUCCUCGAAGUCUAUUUAUUUUAUCCUGUAUAAGUGGCAGCGACUGUGUAUAUUAUCAGCGACUGUGUUUAAAUUUAACUCUCUAUACACAAUGUCUAUCCGAACCAUUUUAAUUUAUUUACCAGCAAUAUGGGGCUUGCAUAAGGUGAACAGCUGGCUCAAGUUUAAAGAACUGUUUAUCCAUCGCUUUGACACUAUAUAAACACCAGCCGCCAUGUUUCUAAAUAUAUUAUAUAUAUGUCGGCGCAUACUUUUGUAAGCUGGUGGAUGUGCUAGAAUAUUUCUCAAGAAUAAUAUUGUAUUGUGUGUUAGAAUAUUCCAGAAGUACAGUAAUUUCAUCAUUUCGGGGAAUUUCAUCAUAUUACAUUAUUGCAUAC
Molecule: RNA transcript, 1990 nt
Organism: Drosophila sechellia
Lineage: Eukaryota; Metazoa; Arthropoda; Insecta; Diptera; Drosophilidae
Exons: 2
Source: RefSeq, a predicted model, not a curated record